GAUGAACGCUAGCGGCAGGCCUAACACAUGCAAGUCGAGGGGGAGGUUACUUUCGGGUAACUGAGACCGGCGUACGGGUGCGUAACGCGUAUACAAUCUGCCUUUCACUGGGGGAUAGCCCGAAGAAAUUUGGAUUAAUACCCCAUAGUAUAGUAAUACGGCAUCGUGAUGCUAUUAAAGCUUAGGUGGUGAAAGAUGAGUAUGCGUUCUAUUAGCUAGUUGGAGAGGUAACGGUUCCCCAAGGCGAUGAUAGAUAGGGGUUCUGAGAGGGAUGUCCCCCACACUGGUACUGAGAUACGGACCAGACGCCUACGGGAGGCAGCAGUGAGGAAUAUUAGACAAUGGUCGGAAUACUGAUCCAGCCAUGCCGCGUGCAGGAAGAAGGUCUUAUGGAUUGUAAACUGCUUUUGUAAGGGACGAAUAAGGGCUACGCGUAGUUUGAUGACGGUACCUUACGAAUAAGCAACGGCUAACUCCGUG
This 480-nucleotide ribosomal RNA is filed under the name uncultured bacterium. RNAcentral's name for it is "partial 16S ribosomal RNA". It matches the Rfam family "Bacterial small subunit ribosomal RNA", at positions 28 to 507 of the family's 1533-position model. The record is from RNAcentral.